UAUCAGAGUUGACCCUGAGCCUUUGGU
This 27-nucleotide non-coding RNA is filed under the name Homo sapiens (human). The record is from RNAcentral. Lineage: Eukaryota; Metazoa; Chordata; Mammalia; Primates; Hominidae.